Molecule: ribosomal RNA, 800 nt
Filed under: uncultured bacterium
Lineage: Bacteria
Description: bacterial SSU rRNA
Rfam family: Bacterial small subunit ribosomal RNA
Source: RNAcentral
AGAGUUUGAUCCUGGCUCAGAAUCAACGCUGGCGGCGUGCCUCAGACAUGCAAGUCGAACGAUUAAAGCUCUCUUCGGAGAGUGCAUAAAGUGGCGCACGGGUGAGUAACACGUAAGUAAUCUACCCUCGGGUGGGGAAUAACAUCGGGAAACCGAUGCUAAUACCGCGUAAUGCAGCGGCACCGCAAGGUGACAGUUGUUAAAGGAGUAAUUCGCCUGAGGAGGAGCUUGCGGCAGAUUAGCUAGUUGGUAAGGCAAUGGCUUACCAAGGCUACGAUCUGUAACCGGUCUAAGAGGACGGUCGGUCACACUGACACUGAAUAACGGGUCAGACUCCUACGGGAGGCAGCAGUCGGGAAUUUUGGGCAAUGGGCGAAAGCCUGACCCAGCAACGCCGCGUGAAGGAUGAAGUAUUUCGGUAUGUAAACUUCGUAAGAAUAGGAAGAAUAAAUGACGGUACUAUUUGUAAGGUCCGGCUAACUACGUGCCAGCAGCCGCGGUAAUACGUAGGGACCAAGCGUUGUUCGGAUUUACUGGGCGUAAAGGGCGCGUAGGCGGCAAUUCAAGUCAGCUGUGAAAUCUCCGGGCUUAACUCGGAACGGUCAGCUGAUACUGCUUUGCUAGAGUGCAGAAGGGGCAAUCGGAAUUCUUGGUGUAGCGGUGAAAUGCGUAGAUAUCAAGAGGAACACCUGAGGUGAAGACGGGUUGCUGGGCUGACACUGACGCUGAGGCGCGAAAGCUAGGGGAGCAAACGGGAUUAGAUACCCCGGUAGUCCUAGCCCUAAACGAUGAAUACUUGG